UACGGAGGGUGCAAGCGUUAUCCGGAUUUACUGGGUUUAAAGGGUGCGUAGGUGGGUCUGUAAGUCAGUGGUGAAAUCUUCAAGCUUAACUUGGAAACUGCCAUUGAUACUAUAGGUCUUGAAUUAUCUGGAGGUAAGCGGAAUAUGUCAUGUAGCGGUGAAAUGCUUAGAUAUGACAUAGAACACCCAUUGCGAAGGCAGCUUACUACACGAUCAUUGACGCUGAGGCACGAAAGCGUGGGGAGCAAACAGG
RNAcentral lists this ribosomal RNA (253 nucleotides) under uncultured bacterium. Its description in RNAcentral is "partial 16S ribosomal RNA". It matches the Rfam family "Bacterial small subunit ribosomal RNA", at positions 524 to 776 of the family's 1533-position model. The record is from RNAcentral.